CCCUUAGAUGUUCUGGGCCGCACGCGCGCUACACUGACAUGACGAACAAGUAUGUUUUGCUCCUAUAUUUUAGGGCAGAGUAGUCCUUAUCCGGAAGGAUUGGGUAAUCUUUGGAAUGCAUGUCGUGAUGGGGCUAGAUUUUUGCAAUUGUUAAUCUCCAACGAGGAAUUCCUAGUAAACGCAAGUCAUCAGCUUGCAUUGAAUACGUCCCUGCCCUUUGUACACACCGCCCGUCGCACCUACCGAUUGAACGAUCCGGUGAACUCGUUGGAUGUGCCGCGUUGGGCGUGAGUUUGACGCGGCGUAGAAAUCGAGUAAACCUUAUCGUUUAGAGGAAGGUGAAGUCGUAACA
This 352-nucleotide ribosomal RNA is filed under the name uncultured eukaryote. Its description in RNAcentral is "partial 18S ribosomal RNA". It matches the Rfam family "Eukaryotic small subunit ribosomal RNA", at positions 1470 to 1796 of the family's 1831-position model. The record is from RNAcentral.